UAUGGAAAAAGGCAAACCUGCUCGAAAGACAGGGACGCAAAGCCACGGAUCUAAUGUAUGAUAACAUGCGAUGAUCGCCGGGUUACCCUA
This 90-nucleotide non-coding RNA is filed under the name Paenibacillus stellifer. RNAcentral's name for it is "c-di-GMP sequence". It matches the Rfam family "c-di-GMP-I riboswitch aptamer". From Rfam's summary of the family: GEMM was predicted in a large-scale screen for bacterial structured RNA regulatory elements. Genes associated with GEMM are involved in a diverse array of functions, including chemotaxis regulation, signal transduction, secretion and chitin. Lineage: Bacteria; Bacillati; Bacillota; Bacilli; Caryophanales; Paenibacillaceae. The record is from Rfam by way of RNAcentral.